Molecule: long non-coding RNA, 1046 nt
Filed under: Populus trichocarpa (black cottonwood)
Lineage: Eukaryota; Viridiplantae; Streptophyta; Magnoliopsida; Malpighiales; Salicaceae
Description: long non-coding RNA (PTRI_LNC001640)
Source: RNAcentral
GUUCUUGAAGAAUUUCUCUCUUUUUCCUCAACAUUCAAUUACUUGAAAUAAAUAAUCACUAAAAUUAUUUAUAAUUCCUGCAGUAUUUUUUUCUUGCUUGUUAAACGUAACACAAAUUCAUUUUUUAUUCGAUGGAGAAAAUGAUAAUAAUUAAUUAACGAUAUCUAGAGUCAUAUCUUUAUCUAUGAAAUUCAAAGAGGAAGUGAAAAGAAAGAUAUAUAUAUACAUAAACAGAAACAUCCUUUACAAUUUAUUAUUAUUGGAUAUUACAUCUUCGAAGCCGCUUUCAUUUUUCUUCUCCAACUUUCAUGAGAAAACCUAUGCAUAAACACUCAUGCAUUGAUAGAGAAUAAUCAAGAUGUUACUCAUGAUCAAAAAACACCAGAUUAGACCUUAAUCCUCCAGCUCCUGAAAUCAAGACUAGAACCUCAACAUUUACUCGUAUUUCUGGGACUGCUCAACGUUUUCUGGUUGCCCUGCAACAUAAUCAAGAAGCCCUUCGCCUGCUUUUUCACCAUGAGAAUCUGUAGCCAUGUGAGUAACUGUACCUCCAAAGACUAAGAUCAAUAUCAGGAAUACAGCUGUUGAGGCCAAUAAAGGCCAGAAGUAAGCAAGAAUGGUGACUAGCCUAGGAGCAGCAUAUAACAAUAAAGAUAGAACAACUGAAGCGGUGAUUGCUAUAGCAAAGUGAUGUCUAUAUUGCAAAAGCCUUUCUGGGAUAUCCAUAUGGCCAGAAAAUUUACUAAGAAAAGUGCUCAGAGAAAGAGAGGCAGAGAGUAGGAGGAAGCAAGGAGAGAAUGGUUUUGUCCUUGUUUUGAUACAAGUGCAAAUUAAUUGAAAUAAUCUUCAACAUUCAUGCAUUCAUACAUUGAUAGAGAAUAAUUGUCAAAGGGAGAUUCCUUUUCUUUCACAAAUAAUCAUCCUCUCUGUAGCCUUUAAGUUUUUCUCUCAUUUUCAUACAUCUCUAAUUACAGAAAUAACCUCAUCACCAGACUACUUUUAGCUAAAUUAUCUGCCAAAAAUGUUUUCAGAUUUCAAAAGGCAUU